AGUGAACGUUGGCGGCGUGGAUUAGGCAUGCAAGUCGAGCGAGAACCGUAGCAAUACGGGGACAGCGGCGAAAGGGACAGUAAUGUGUAGGUACCUACCCCCGGGUUCGGGAUAGCUGCGGGAAACUGCAGGUAAUACCGAAUAAUGUCUCCGGACCAAAGGUGUGAUUCCACCUGGGGAGGGGCCUGCAUCCUAUUAGCUUGUUGGUGGGGUAACGGCCUACCAAGGCGACGAUGGGUAGCGGGUGUGAGAGCAUGACCCGCGUCAUUGGGACUGAGACACUGCCCAGACACCUAAGGGUGGAUGCAGUCGAGAAUCUUCGGCAAUGGGCGCAAGCCUGACCGGGCGACGCCGCGUGCGGAUGAAGGCCUUCGGGUUGUAAACCGCUGUCGUAGAGGAGGAAAUGCAGGGGGGUUCUCCCCUUUGCUUGACCUAUUCUAGGAGGAAGUACGGGCUAAGUUCGUGCCAGCCGCCGCGGUAA
Molecule: ribosomal RNA, 481 nt
Filed under: uncultured bacterium
Lineage: Bacteria
Description: partial 16S ribosomal RNA
Rfam family: Bacterial small subunit ribosomal RNA
Source: RNAcentral